This 409-nucleotide ribosomal RNA is filed under the name uncultured organism. RNAcentral describes it as "bacterial SSU rRNA". It matches the Rfam family "Bacterial small subunit ribosomal RNA", at positions 45 to 433 of the family's 1533-position model. The record is from RNAcentral.
UGGAUAAGACAUGCAAGUCGAACGCUCAUAUAAUGGCAGCAAUGUCAUUGUGUGGGAGUGGCGCAAGGGUGCGUAACAUGUGGGUAAUUUGCCGUGAAGCUGGGGAUAACCCCGAGAAAUCGGGGCUAAUACCGGAUGUGGUUGUUUGGGGGCAUCCUUGAACAACUGAAGCUGGGGACCGGAAGGCCUGGCGCUUCACGAUAAGCCCGCGGCCUAUCAGCUAGUUGGUGAGGUAACGGCUCACCAAGGCGAAGACGGGUAGCUGGUCUGAGAGGACGACCAGCCACACUGGAACUGAGACACGGUCCAGACUCCUACGGGAGGCAGCAGUGGGGAAUUUUGGACAAUGGGCGCAAGCCUGAUCCAGCAAUGCCGCGUGCAGGAUGAAGGCCUUCGGGUUGUAAACUGC